This 253-nucleotide ribosomal RNA is filed under the name uncultured bacterium. RNAcentral describes it as "partial 16S ribosomal RNA". It matches the Rfam family "Bacterial small subunit ribosomal RNA", at positions 524 to 776 of the family's 1533-position model. The record is from RNAcentral.
UACGGAGGGUGCGAGCGUUGUCCGGAAUCAUUGGGCGUAAAGGGCGCGCAGGCGGCCCUUGAAGUCAGGCGUGAAAGCCCCGGGCUCAACCUGGGAGGUGCGCUUGAUACUCGAGGGCUUGAGUGCGGGAGAGGAGAGUGGAAUUCCCAGUGUAGAGGUGAAAUUCGUAGAUAUUGGGAAGAACACCGGUGGCGAAGGCGGCUCUCUGGACCGUAACUGACGCUGAGGCGCGAAAGCGUGGGGAGCAAACAGG